Molecule: ribosomal RNA, 326 nt
Filed under: uncultured bacterium
Lineage: Bacteria
Description: partial 16S ribosomal RNA
Rfam family: Bacterial small subunit ribosomal RNA
Source: RNAcentral
UGGGGAAUAUUGGACAAUGGGCGAAAGCCUGAUCCAGCCAUGCCGCGUGUGUGAAGAAGGUCUUCGGAUUGUAAAGCACUUUAAGUUGGGAGGAAGGGCAUUAACCUAAUACGUUAGUGUUUUGACGUUACCGACAGAAUAAGCACCGGCUAACUCUGUGCCAGCAGCCGCGGUAAUACAGAGGGUGCAAGCGUUAAUCGGAAUUACUGGGCGUAAAGCGCGCGUAGGUGGUUUGUUAAGUUGGAUGUGAAAUCCCCGGGCUCAACCUGGGAACUUCAUUCAAAACUGACUGACUGGAGUAUGGUAGAGGGUGGUUGAAUUUCCUG